UAAUACGUAGGGGGCAAGCGUUGUCCGGAUUUAUUGGGCGUAAAGAGCGUGUAGGCGGCCGCACAGGUCCGUUGUGAAAACUGGAGGCUUAACCUUCAGACGUCGAUGGAAACCGUGCGGCUAGAGUCCGGAAGAGGAGAGUGGAAUUCCUGGUGUAGCGGUGAAAUGCGCAGAUAUCAGGAAGAACACCCGUGGCGAAGGCGGCUCUCUGGGACGGU
This 218-nucleotide ribosomal RNA is filed under the name uncultured bacterium. RNAcentral's name for it is "partial 16S ribosomal RNA". It matches the Rfam family "Bacterial small subunit ribosomal RNA", at positions 521 to 738 of the family's 1533-position model. The record is from RNAcentral.